AUUGAACGCUGGCGGCAUGCUUUACACAUGCAAGUCGAACGGUAACAGGCCUUCGGGUGCUGACGAGUGGCGAACGGGUGAGUAAUGCAUCGGAACGUGCCCAGAGGUGGGGGAUAACGCAGCGAAAGCUGUGCUAAUACCGCAUGUGAUCUGAGGUUGAAAGCGGGGGACCAGGCAGCAAUGUUUGGCCUCGCGCCUUUGGAGCGGCCGAUGUCAGAUUAGGUAGUUGGUGGGGUAAAGGCCUACCAAGCCGACGAUCUGUAGCUGGUCUGAGAGGACGACCAGCCACACUGGGACUUAGACACGGCCCAGACUCCUACGGGAGGCAGCAGUGGGGAAUUUUGGACAAUGGGCGCAAGCCUGGUCCAGCAAUGCCGCGUGCGGGAAGAAGGCCUUCGGGGUGUAAACCGCUUUUGUACGGAACGAAAAGGCUCUGGCUAAUACCUGGGGCUGAUGACGGUACCGUAAGAAUAAGCACCGGCUAACUACGUG
RNAcentral lists this ribosomal RNA (492 nucleotides) under uncultured bacterium. RNAcentral's name for it is "partial 16S ribosomal RNA". It matches the Rfam family "Bacterial small subunit ribosomal RNA", at positions 30 to 507 of the family's 1533-position model. The record is from RNAcentral.